UGGUGACCGACAACACGUUCGCAAGCGAGCCGCACGACGGUGGGCAAGGUGGGUCAGGGGGUGCCUCCUCCGGUGGUGGCCACUUGGGCGACAAGAACCUGCGAGGAAGUUCAGACGAGGAGGUAGCUGUCAAGAAGUGCCGACCUGUACCAGAGCUCGUGGGGGACUUCAUACUCUGCUGAUGCGAGGACGGCGUCGCGGACGAGGACGACACCGAGGAGUUGCGCCGGCAGCAAGCCCAGUGCCGUCGGAUUUUGUUCUAGAGGGGAAGAGACGGGUGCGCC
This 284-nucleotide long non-coding RNA is filed under the name Brachypodium distachyon (stiff brome). RNAcentral's name for it is "long non-coding RNA (BDIS_LNC004411)". Lineage: Eukaryota; Viridiplantae; Streptophyta; Magnoliopsida; Poales; Poaceae. The record is from RNAcentral.